CAUUAUCAAUCUCCGCGCGAUCUUUUUCGCGCGUUUAUUUAAAACCCACCCUUUUUUGAAAAAAAAUUUUUACAUAUUUAUUUACUUGAAAUGAGUAAUUAAAAAAGAUCACUUUCAACAACGGAUCUCUUGGUUCUCGCAUCGAAGAAGAACGUAGCAAAGUGCGAUAAGUAGUGUGAAUUGCAGAAUUCCGUGGAUCAUCGAAUUUUUGAACGCAAAUUGCACUCUUCGAUUUCGAAGAGUAUGCCUGUUUGAGGGUCGUUAAAAUAAAAAUCGAUUUGUUUCUUUUGUAACAUUUCGGAAUUGAGCUAUCUUGUAUCCUAUGAUUCAAGAGGCUUAAAAUUGAUCAUUCUGGUAUGAUUUGAGCGUACUUAAGAUUUCUUUUAUUGCGCUUGAUGAGUAACGGACGUUUUUAUUAGGAUGACCAUUGAUCAUGGUUUCAUUCCUAUAAUCAUUUCAUGAUGCGACCUCAAAUCAGGUAGGAAUACCCGCUGAACUUAAGCAUAUCAAUAAGC
Molecule: ribosomal RNA, 515 nt
Filed under: uncultured Glomerales
Lineage: Eukaryota; Fungi; Glomeromycota; Glomeromycetes; Glomerales; Glomeraceae
Description: eukaryotic LSU rRNA
Rfam family: 5.8S ribosomal RNA (bases 110-261)
Source: RNAcentral